Molecule: ribosomal RNA, 541 nt
Filed under: uncultured bacterium
Lineage: Bacteria
Description: bacterial SSU rRNA
Rfam family: Bacterial small subunit ribosomal RNA
Source: RNAcentral
ACUCAAUAGAUACCCGGGUAGUCCACGCCCUAAACGAUGUCUACUAGUUGUCGGGUCUUAAUUGACUUGGUAAACGCAGCUAAACGCGUGAAGUAGACCGCCUGGGGAGUACGGUCGCAAGAUUAAAACUCAAAGGAAUUGACGGGGACCCGCACAAGCGGUGGAUGAUGUGGAUUAAUUCGAUGCAACGCGAAAAACCUUACCUACCCUUGACAUGGAUGGAAUCCUUGAGAGAUUGAGGAGUGCCCGAAAGGGAACCAUUACACAGGUGCUGCAUGGCUGUCGUCAGCUCGUGUCGUGAGAUGUUGGGUUAAGUCCCGCAACGAGCGCAACCCUUGUCAUUAGUUGCUACGAAAGGGCACUCUAAUGAGACUGCCGGUGACAAACCGGAGAAGGUGGGGAUGACGUCAAGUCCUCAUGGCCCUUAUGGGUAGGGCUUCACACGUCAUACAAUGGUACAUACAGAGGGCCGCCAACCCGCGAGGGGAGCUAAUCCCAGAAAGUGUAUCGUAGUCCGGAUUGUAGUCUGCAACUCGACUGC